AACGAACGCUGGCGGCAGGCCUAACACAUGCAAGUCGAACGAACCGUUUACGGUGAGUGGCGCACGGGUGAGUAACACGUGGGAAUAUACAUUUCGGUAAGGAAUAACGUAGAGAAAUUUACGCUAUUACCUUAUAAUGACUACGGUCCAAAGAUUUAUCGCCGAAGGAUUAGCCCGCGUUAGAUUAGGUAGUUGGUAGGGUAAUGGCCUACCAAGCCUACGAUCUAUAGCUGGUCUUAGAGGAUGAUCAGCCACACUGGAACUGAGACACGGUCCAGACUCCUACGGGAGGCAGCAGUGAGGAAUAUUGCGCAAUGGGGGAAACCCUGACGCAGCCAUGCCGCGUGAGUGACGAAGGCCUUAGGGUUGUAAAGCUCUUUCAGAUGUAAAGAUAAUGACGGUAACAUCAGAAGAAGCUCCGGCUAAAUUCGUGCCAGCAGCCGCCGUAA
This 449-nucleotide ribosomal RNA is filed under the name uncultured bacterium. Its description in RNAcentral is "partial 16S ribosomal RNA". It matches the Rfam family "Bacterial small subunit ribosomal RNA", at positions 29 to 523 of the family's 1533-position model. The record is from RNAcentral.